This 121-nucleotide small nucleolar RNA is filed under the name Suricata suricatta (meerkat). Its description in RNAcentral is "Small nucleolar RNA SNORA70 (ENSSSUG00005019435.1)". It matches the Rfam family "Small nucleolar RNA SNORA70". Rfam says of the family: snoRNA U70 seems to be exclusive to mammals and is a member of the H/ACA class of snoRNA which contain H (ANANNA) and ACA box motifs. H/ACA box snoRNAs are involved in the conversion of uridines to pseudouridines (5-ribosyluracil) a constituent of structural RNAs (transfer, ribosomal, small nuclear, and small nucleolar). The record is from Rfam by way of RNAcentral. Lineage: Eukaryota; Metazoa; Chordata; Mammalia; Carnivora; Herpestidae.
UGGCAUAUUAACAGUGUUUCCCAUGAGGGCCCAGUGUGCAAUGGUUGCAAACAGUAGCCUCCUUGUAGUGUAUGCAGCCUGUUGAUUGUUUGGGUUUUCCUCAGAGACCUUGGAGACAGCC